This 193-nucleotide ribosomal RNA is filed under the name Calonectria insularis. RNAcentral's name for it is "partial 18S ribosomal RNA". It matches the Rfam family "Eukaryotic small subunit ribosomal RNA", at positions 1642 to 1831 of the family's 1831-position model. RNAcentral also lists the same sequence under 3 other names. The record is from RNAcentral. Lineage: Eukaryota; Fungi; Ascomycota; Sordariomycetes; Hypocreales; Nectriaceae.
AUUUUACGUCCCCUGCCCUUUGUACACACCGCCCGUCGCUACUACCGAUUGAAUGGCUCAGUGAGGCGUCCGGACUGGCCCAGAGAGGCGGGCAACUGCCACUCAGGGCCGGAAAGCUCUCCAAACUCGGUCAUUUAGAGGAAGUAAAAGUCGUAACAAGGUCUCCGUUGGUGAACCAGCGGAGGGAUCAUUA